Molecule: ribosomal RNA, 495 nt
Filed under: Klebsiella pneumoniae
Lineage: Bacteria; Pseudomonadati; Pseudomonadota; Gammaproteobacteria; Enterobacterales; Enterobacteriaceae
Description: bacterial SSU rRNA
Rfam family: Bacterial small subunit ribosomal RNA
Source: RNAcentral
AAAUUGAAGAGUUUGAUCAUGGCUCAGAUUGAACGCUGGCGGCAGGCCUAACACAUGCAAGUCGAGCGGUAGCACAGAGAGCUUGCUCUCGGGUGACGAGCGGCGGACGGGUGAGUAAUGUCUGGGAAACUGCCUGAUGGAGGGGGAUAACUACUGGAAACGGUAGCUAAUACCGCAUAACGUCGCAAGACCAAAGUGGGGGACCUUCGGGCCUCAUGCCAUCAGAUGUGCCCAGAUGGGAUUAGCUAGUAGGUGGGGUAACGGCUCACCUAGGCGACGAUCCCUAGCUGGUCUGAGAGGAUGACCAGCCACACUGGAACUGAGACACGGUCCAGACUCCUACGGGAGGCAGCAGUGGGGAAUAUUGCACAAUGGGCGCAAGCCUGAUGCAGCCAUGCCGCGUGUGUGAAGAAGGCCUUCGGGUUGUAAAGCACUUUCAGCGGGGAGGAAGGCGAUAAGGUUAAUAACCUUGUCGAUUGACGUUACCCGCAGAAG